Molecule: unclassified non-coding RNA, 327 nt
Filed under: Trichothecium sp.
Lineage: Eukaryota; Fungi; Ascomycota; Sordariomycetes; Hypocreales
Description: partial contains 5.8S ribosomal RNA, internal transcribed spacer 2, and large subunit ribosomal RNA
Rfam family: 5.8S ribosomal RNA (bases 1-52)
Source: RNAcentral
AACGCACAUUGCGCCCCUUGGUAUUCCAGGGGGCAUGCCUGUUUGAGCGUCAUUUCCUUCUCAAACAUUCUGUUUGGUAGUGAGUGAUACUCUUUGGAGUUAACUUGAAAUUGCUGGCCUUUUCAUUGGAUGUUUUUUUUCCAAAGAGAGGUUUCUCUGCGUGCUUGAGGUAUAAUGCAAGUACGGUCGUUUUAGGUUUUACCAACUGCGGCUAAUCUUUUUUUAUACUGAGCGUAUUGGAACGUUAUCGAUAAGAAGAGAGCGUCUAGGCGAACAAUGUUCUUAAAGUUUGACCUCAAAUCAGGUAGGAGUACCCGCUGAACUUAA